Molecule: ribosomal RNA, 438 nt
Filed under: uncultured bacterium
Lineage: Bacteria
Description: bacterial SSU rRNA
Rfam family: Bacterial small subunit ribosomal RNA
Source: RNAcentral
AACGCGAAGAACCUUACCUGGGCUCGAAAUACAGUGCAUCGGGGUAGAAAUAUCCCUUCCCGCAAGGGGCGCUGCAUAGGUGCUGCAUGGCUGUCGUCAGCUCGUGUCGUGAGAUGUUGGGUUAAGUCCCGCAACGAGCGCAACCCUUAUUGCCAGUUGCCAUCAUUUAGUUGGGCACUCUGGCGAAACUGCCCCGGAUAACGGGGAGGAAGGUGGGGAUGACGUCAAGUCCUCAUGGCCUUUAUGUCCAGGGCUACACACGUGCUACAAUGGCCGGUACAAACCGUCGCAAACCCGCGAGGGGGAGCUAAUCGGAAAAAGCCGGUCUCAGUCCGGAUUGGAGUCUGCAACUCGACUCCAUGAAGCUGGAAUCGCUAGUAAUCGCGGAUCAGCACGCCGCGGUGAAUACGUUCCCGGGCCUUGUACACACCGUAGUAC